Molecule: ribosomal RNA, 300 nt
Filed under: uncultured bacterium
Lineage: Bacteria
Description: bacterial SSU rRNA
Rfam family: Bacterial small subunit ribosomal RNA
Source: RNAcentral
CGGGUAACGCUGGGCCGUGAGGGUGGGGAAUGCGGAUGGUGGAAGGGUUAAUCGGAAGUAGUGGGCGUAAAGCGUGUGCAGGUGGGUUUGUAAGACAGGUGUGAAAUCCCCGGGCUGAACCUGGGAACUGCAUUUGUGACUGCAAGGCUGGAGUGCGGCAGAGGGGGAUGGAAUUCCGCGUGUAGCAGUGAAAUGCGUAGAUAUGCGGAGGAACACCGAUGGCGAAGGCAAUCCCCUGGGCCUGCACUGACGCUCAUGCACGAAAGCGUGGGGAGCAAACAGGAUUAGAUACCCCUGUAC